This 198-nucleotide ribosomal RNA is filed under the name uncultured bacterium. RNAcentral's name for it is "partial 16S ribosomal RNA". It matches the Rfam family "Bacterial small subunit ribosomal RNA", at positions 328 to 539 of the family's 1533-position model. The record is from RNAcentral.
ACGCUCGACACCUACGGGAGACAGCAGUGGGGAAUAUUGCACAAUGGGGGAAACCCUGAUGCAGCGACGCCGCGUGAGCGAAGAAGUAUCUCGGUAUGUAAAGCUCUAUCAGCAGGGAAGAAGAUGACGGUACCUGACUAAGAAGCACCGGCUAAAUACGUGCCUGCAGCCGCGGUAAUCUGAGCGGGCUGGCAAGGC